GACCGCAUCUUGACGGCGCAAUUCCUCGUCAUCCCCGGUUGCAUCGGCGACGAGAGAAGGGGGCGAUGGAGCCGCCGGAGAGGAAGAGAACGAGGAGGGAGUCGAAGCGGCCGUCCUCCCCCAUGCCGGCGAAGCGCGCGGCAACGAAGGGCAAUCUGCGGCGGAGCGGAUGGGAUGCGCCGGCGGCGGCCACUUAGGCCCCCAACAAUUGUUACACCAACUACUACUUUUUCCGCCGACAGAGCUAACAUGUGAGAUCGCUCGAUGGACAGUAGAAUGCUCCCCAUGGUUCUAUGCUUGGCUAUAUUAUCAAUAUUCAUUUCCCCAUGACACAUAGACUCUCAACAAGAGGCUCUUAUUCCUCUCGGUGUUAUUCCUCACAUCCUUUUUCCACAUUUGUUUUCCUACUGAAACUUAAAUUGUGAAGUCUAGCAAGCCUGCUAACACUACUCUUGUUCACUCUUCGGAAUUGACUAUGCAGUGUUGUUUCAUUA
This is a long non-coding RNA of Hordeum vulgare subsp. vulgare (domesticated barley), 494 nucleotides long. RefSeq lists it as uncharacterized. The record is from RefSeq and is a predicted model, not a curated record. The transcript is spliced from 2 exons. Lineage: Eukaryota; Viridiplantae; Streptophyta; Magnoliopsida; Poales; Poaceae.